Molecule: ribosomal RNA, 1287 nt
Filed under: uncultured bacterium
Lineage: Bacteria
Description: bacterial SSU rRNA
Rfam family: Bacterial small subunit ribosomal RNA
Source: RNAcentral
GGGGCAGCGGGGUAGUGCUUGCACUACUGCCGGCGACCGGCGCACGGGUGAGUAACACGUAUGGAACCUGCCCGCAGCAGGGGGAUAAGCGGAAGAAAUUCCGUCUAAUACCGCGUAAGAACGUUGGGAGGCAUCUCCCGAUGUUUAAAGAUUUAUCGGCUGCGGAUGGCCAUGCGGCGCAUUAGCUAGUCGGCGGGGUAACGGCCCACCGAGGCGACGAUGCGUAGGGGUUCUGAGAGGAAGGUCCCCCACACUGGUACUGAGACACGGACCAGACUCCUACGGGAGGCAGCAGUGAGGAAUAUUGGUCAAUGGCCGAGAGGCUGAACCAGCCAAGUCGCGUGAGGGAAGACGGCCCUACGGGUUGUAAACCUCUUUUGUCGGGGAGCAAAGCGAACCACGUGUGGUUCAUUGAGAGUACCCGAAGAAAAAGCAUCGGCUAACUCCGUGCCAGCAGCCGCGGUAAUACGGAGGAUGCGAGCGUUAUCCGGAUUUAUUGGGUUUAAAGGGUGCGCAGGCGGAGGUGCAAGUCAGCGGUCAAAUUGCGGGGCUCAACCCCGUACUGCCGUUGAAACUGCAUCCCUUGAGUGCGCGAGAAGUAUGCGGAAUGCCUGGUGUACCGGGGAAAUGCAUAGAUAUCACGCAGAACUCCGAUUGCGAAGGCAGCAUACCGGCGCGCAACUGACGCUCAUGCACGAAAGCGUGGGUAUCGAACAGGAUUAGAUACCCUGGUAGUCCACGCAGUAAACGAUGAACACUAACUGUUCGGCCAGAAUGAUGGCUGAGUGGUACAGCGAAAGCGUUAAGUGUUCCACCUGGGGAGUACGCCGGCAACGGUGAAACUCAAAGGAAUUGACGGGGGCCCGCACAAGCGGAGGAACAUGUGGUUUAAUUCGAUGAUACGCGAGGAACCUUACCCGGGCUCAAACGACACAGGAAUACUUUUGAAAGGAGGUAGCCCUACGGGGUCUGUGUCGAGGUGCUGCAUGGUUGUCGUCAGCUCGUGCCGUGAGGUGUCGGCUUAAGUGCCAUAACGAGCGCAACCCCUAUCGCCAGUUACCAUCAAGUAAAGUUGGGGACUCUGGCGAGACUGCCGGCGCAAGCUGAGAGGAAGGCGGGGAUGACGUCAAAUCAGCACGGCCCUUACGUCCGGGGCGACACACGUGUUACAAUGGCAGGUACAGAGAGAAGCCAGGUGGUGACACCGAGCGGAACUCGAAAGCCUGUCUCAGUUCGGAUCGGAGUCUGCAACCCGACUCCGUGAAGCUGGAUUCGCUAGUAAUCGCG